RNAcentral lists this ribosomal RNA (253 nucleotides) under uncultured bacterium. Its description in RNAcentral is "partial 16S ribosomal RNA". It matches the Rfam family "Bacterial small subunit ribosomal RNA", at positions 524 to 776 of the family's 1533-position model. The record is from RNAcentral.
UACAGAGGUGGCAAGCGUUGUUCGGAAUUACUGGGCGUAAAGGGCGCGUAGGCGGCUUGGUCAGUCCCGUGUGAAAUCCCUCGGCUCAACUGAGGAACUGCACGGGAAACUGCCUGGCUUGAGUUCGGGAGAGGGAAGCGGAAUUCCGGGUGUAGCGGUGAAAUGCGUAGAUAUCCGGAGGAACACCGGUGGCGAAGGCGGCUUCCUGGACCGACACUGACGCUGAGGCGCGACAGCUAGGGGAGCAAACAGG